UGGGGAAUAUUGCGCAAUGGGCGAAAGCCUGACGCAGCAACGCCGCGUGAGUGAAGAAGGCCCUUGGGUUGUAAAGCUCUUUCGGCUGGGAAGAAGCCUUUGUGUGUGAAUAGCAUGUGAGGGUGAUGGUACCAGAAUAAGAAGCACCGGCUAACUUCGUGCCAGCAGCCGCGGUAAUACGAAGGGUGCGAGCGUUGUUCGGAUUUAUUGGGCGUAAAGGGUUCGUAGGCGGGACAGUCAGUUAAGUGUGAAAACCCUGGGCUUAACCUGGGACGUGCACUUAAUACUGCUGUUCUUGAGUGUUGGAGAGGGUCAUGGAAUUGCUGGUGUAGGAGUGACAUCCGUAGAGAUCAGCAGGAACACCAGAGGCGAAGGCGAUGACCUGGCCAGGCACUGACGC
This 400-nucleotide ribosomal RNA is filed under the name uncultured bacterium. RNAcentral describes it as "bacterial SSU rRNA". It matches the Rfam family "Bacterial small subunit ribosomal RNA", at positions 355 to 746 of the family's 1533-position model. The record is from RNAcentral.